This 408-nucleotide ribosomal RNA is filed under the name uncultured bacterium. Its description in RNAcentral is "partial 16S ribosomal RNA". It matches the Rfam family "Bacterial small subunit ribosomal RNA", at positions 28 to 526 of the family's 1533-position model. The record is from RNAcentral.
GACGAACGCUGGCGGCGUGCUUAACACAUGCAAGUCGAACGAAGUGCCGAACGGGUGAGUAACGCGUAAUCAACCUGCCCUUCAGAGGGGGUCAACAGUUGGAAACGACUGCUAAUACCGCAUACUGAAUGAGGGGAUUGCGUCUGAUUCGCUAGUUGGAGGGGUAACGGGCCACAAAGGCGAUGCGCAGUAAGCGGGAUAAGAGGUGGAACGGCCAAAUUUGCACUGAUACACGGCCCAGACUCCUACUGGAGGCAGCAGUGGGGAAUCUUCUGCAAUGGACGAAAAGCUGACGGAGCAACGCAGCGUGAGUUAUGACGGCCUUCGGGUUGUAAAGCUCUGUUAAUCGGGACGCGGUACCGGAAUAGAAAGCCACGGCUAACUACGUGCCAGCGGCCGCGGUAAUAC